RNAcentral lists this ribosomal RNA (254 nucleotides) under uncultured bacterium. RNAcentral's name for it is "partial 16S ribosomal RNA". It matches the Rfam family "Bacterial small subunit ribosomal RNA", at positions 524 to 776 of the family's 1533-position model. The record is from RNAcentral.
GACGUAGGAGGCGAGCGUUAUCCGGAUUCACUGGGCGUAAAGCGCAUGUAGGCGGUUAAACAAGUCCGAUGUUAAAGCCCCUGGCUCAACUGGGGGAGGUCAUUGGAGACUGUUUUGACUUGAGGGCAGCAGAGGCACGUGGAACUCCCGGUGUAGCGGUGGAAUGCGUAGAGAUCGGGAAGAACACCCGUGGCGAAGGCGACGUGCUGGGCUGCGACUGACGCUGAGAUGCGAAAGUGUGGGGAGCAAACGGG